UACGUAGGUGGCAAGCGUUAUCCGGAUUUAUUGGGCGUAAAGAGGACGCAGGCGGUCUUUUAAGUCUGAUGUGAAAGCCUUCGGCUUAACCGGAGUAGUGCAUUGGAAACUGGGAGACUUGAGUGCAGAAGAGGAGAGUGGAACUCCAUGUGUAGCGGUGAAAUGCGUAGAUAUAUGGAAGAACACCAGUGGCGAAAGCGGCUCUCUGGUCUGUAACUGACGCUGAGGUUCGAAAGCGUGGGUAGCAAACAGG
This 253-nucleotide ribosomal RNA is filed under the name uncultured bacterium. Its description in RNAcentral is "partial 16S ribosomal RNA". It matches the Rfam family "Bacterial small subunit ribosomal RNA", at positions 524 to 776 of the family's 1533-position model. The record is from RNAcentral.